AAAGUAAAUAUCUUUAUCGCAUUUUUUUCAAAAAACUAAAAAAAUGAGGAAAGUCUGGACACUAAAGAGAAGUACAGCGGAUAACAUCCGUCCAUCGUGAGAUGAGGAAAAGUGCAACAGAAAGUAUGUAUAGUAUAAUUAAAUUUUAAAAUUAUAUUUUAUAGUGAAAUCUUGUAAACUCUGUAUAGUGAAAUGUCAAAAAAAUACCAUUAAUUUAUUUUUCUCGAUAAAGAAUGGUUGGUAGACAGAUAAUGAUAUAUAUGGUAACAUAUAUACUAGAUAAAUGAUAAAGAAUAUAUAAUUAAAUUUAUAAAUUUAAUUAUAUAUUACAGAAUCCGGCUUAUAUAUUUACUUUAUUU
This 359-nucleotide RNase P RNA is filed under the name Candidatus Shikimatogenerans bostrichidophilus. RNAcentral describes it as "RNase P RNA component class A". It matches the Rfam family "Bacterial RNase P class A". Rfam says of the family: Ribonuclease P (RNase P) is a ubiquitous endoribonuclease, found in archaea, bacteria and eukarya as well as chloroplasts and mitochondria. Its best characterised activity is the generation of mature 5'-ends of tRNAs by cleaving the 5'-leader elements of precursor-tRNAs. Lineage: Bacteria; Pseudomonadati; Bacteroidota; Flavobacteriia; Flavobacteriales. The record is from RNAcentral.